This is a long non-coding RNA of Culex quinquefasciatus (southern house mosquito), 1298 nucleotides long. RefSeq lists it as uncharacterized. The record is from RefSeq and is a predicted model, not a curated record. The transcript is spliced from 2 exons. NCBI's taxonomy places the organism in Eukaryota, Metazoa, Arthropoda, Insecta, Diptera, Culicidae.
AAGUGUAGUUCAAGCAAAACAUUGUAAAAGGACCCAAGUCAAAAAAGUAAACAAACAGCUUUUUUGUUGCAAACGAUGCUAAGAACCUUUAACUAACGCUACAUAUUGAAUAAAGAAUAAAAAAGAUCACCUUUGUGUGAAAAAAAUAGAAUUUUACAAAGGCCCAAACCCAUGACUUUUUGUUUGUUUCGAAGAUUUCUCAUAGACCCUUUGCUCCCAAGGACCAAUAUGGAAACUGGGUUGUUUUGUUUUUAAAAACGUGUUAGCUCAGGGACGAAAACAAUGUUUUUCAAAACAAAGACCAGAACGUGUAUGGCCCUUUGUUUCUAAUAUUAGGAGAAUAACCAGCGGCCGGGACGGAACGGAGCAGCGAGGCCACGGAACACAUUACUGUUUCCGGCUGCGACGAUAAAAACGGUCUCAUCAAUCUAGAACACCGAAUAGUUCGCGCAGCUAGCUUAGAAGUCCAAGAAGUACCUACUGGCGGGAAUGACGUUCCAUUAAAUUUUCAUCUGGCCUCGUUCACUGACGGAGGUCGUGAAAGUGGUGGCGGCGGAUGGGGACUUCCGGAUAGUGGUCGCAGUAGCAAUUCGAACUCUUCGUCUCGUUACGGGCAGUUCUCCUCGGCCAGUAUCAAAAAUUACGCCAAAACGUUCGACCAGAUCGAGAUCACUUGCCAAAAUCUGUUUUGUCCAUUUCGAAAAAGAAGGAAUCGGAUCCCAAAACCCUGCUGCCCCCGCUUCUUCAACUCUUUCACGGAGGAAACCCUGCGGACACACUCAGGUCGUACGUCGCCAACGGGCGUCUACCCGACUUCGGCAGCAACGACGUCCUACCCCCGCAAACGACUAUGUCGGGAAUCAACCCAUCUGACGACGUCCUGAACAACCUGGCAAUGAUGUCAAUUGCUGGUGACGAUUGCGGGACUGACCACAUAAGCAUGGUCGACGACAUAAGCGCCAACACUUCGUGCCGUAGUCGGAGCGGUCGAUGGUUUAUUGUUCAAAACAAAAAUAUGCAGGCCCUUGACACGAUCAUAAAACUAGGUGGCUGAGAUUGCUGCGACGAGGAGGAGGAAGGGUACCAAACCGAUAGAAGCAGUUUCCAAGAAGAAUCUGCUACCGGAAGCCGCGGCGGCCGAUACAAGUCAGCGCUGUUCCGGAAUCGAAAAAUGAACAUCGAGCGUGCUGGUCGACAUAAAAACGAAGUCGGUUGAGUUGCCUACGGAGUUUAUCAAUUUUUACAUAAGUAACUGUAAUUCGUCAUGUGAUGAGUAAAAGAAUGCUAAUUUUUCAAUA